GUGCUUAAUGGGUUAACUGGCCUAUCUGCCCAUGUGUCUAUUUAACCCAUUGAGUCGCAUUGCGCCCUGAUGCACCAUACUUUAUUAUUUUACUCUUUCUAAUGCCAGACGAUUUCCCUCGUCAAGAGGAGAGUGGUUGGGUUAACAAGAUUGAUUUAAAAUGUCAGAAGCCCUGGGGGUGGGCACUUUUGGAUGCAUAAUAUUAUUGUGAUGAUAUCAUUCCAACUCUUCAUCAUCCUCAAAACCUUUGAAGUCUUUUCCACCAAAAGCUUGUCUUAUGGCAUGAUAAGCACAUGUUGGUAAAGGUAUUCUUCUCUUUCCCAAGUAUCCAUAAACCAAUUGUAUAUACUAUAUACUCUCUAUAGGCAACACUUCGGAAAUACCUAUAAUAUAAGAAACUUUUCAUGUAAUAUUUGUAAUGGUUUUAUAUAAAUGAAAUUUUCUGAUUGAUAACAAAUUGUGGGGAUUUAUCAGGCUUAAAAAUGGCUAUAUUAUAUUGUUUAAUAAAUAUAUAUAUUAUUACAUAUAUGAGUCUUGCCUGUUUUCAUCACCUUCCACGUUAUACUUCCUGCCAUCUAUUUUUCGAAAUUUACGCCCUGCCAGACGCAAUGACCAGGAUGAUAAACAGACCGAACCAAAGCCUGGAUGAAGCGUUAUGCAUGCAAUUUGGCUCAGCACCUACUUCUUGUAAAACAAGUUCUGUCCCUAACGCUUCUAAGCAGCCUUCGAUUUCUUGGCAGCAUUGAGCCUCUCUCUCAUUUACCAGUAAAUCGACUUUACAUAGUUCGCAUGUACACCUGAAAUAAAAAGGAACACCUUAUAAUAUUCAUUGUGAUUUGUCAAACGAAAAAGGAAAAUAUUUUUACACGAGUGUCAACACUAGCCUGCGUACGCCGUAGCGUCUACACAAAAUGUAAACACGAGCUCUGUCUCUGAGUCUGAGUCUGAGCUCACAUAUAGUAUACAUUUCACCUACCAAUUUGAUACGGGGAUGGUUCCGUUCAAGCGAGACAUAAGCAGCUGUCGUCUCUCUUCUUCGGCACGUCUCUCUUCGUUGUAUUGAGCUAUCCAAGCUGGAUCAGCAAUCGGUUCGUCUUGGUAAGGUUGUCAGCCUGGCCACUGGUCUUCAUCGCUUUGUGUUGAGCUGUCUGUGGGAGGCUGAACUGCAUCAUCUUCGAUUUCCAUUAUAUAAUUUGGUAAAAAAAUCAUAUCCGAAUCAAGUUGGCUGUCCGUAUUGUCGGAAAAACUUGACGACAUUGUUUAAACGAAAAGUUAACCCAAAAUGUUAUUAAGCGGAAAAAUUGGACGAUAUUUUGGACUAAAAUUCUAUACUGUUUUAUUAUGAUGAUACUUGGCAAGAUUAGCGUUUUCUCAUUCUUACGUCACUUCCGGCGGUUAACGCCGAUUAGUUACCAGUAUUUUCAAGCUCGCGGCAAUUCGAAAAAUCACCAACUUUGAGGCCCAAAAAGUCCAUGAAGAUCAAAUUUUCGUCUAGUCAAAUAUAUUGCAAAUGUUCUUAAAAUCGUCUAAACUAUCAGUAAAAGGCAUUUCCCUGACCCUGAUAUAGGCACUUUAACAAACAAUAAAAUAAUGUAAGAAUUAUUUAGAAAAAUCUUAAAUCGCGGUACCGUUACGCUUUUGAGUUGUGCUCCUGCUGGCUUUAAGUUAUAUUUAUGAAAAUAUCAUUUUUAUACAGCAAAAUAGUUGUUCUAAAAAAUUGUGUUCGG
RNAcentral lists this long non-coding RNA (1727 nucleotides) under Paramuricea clavata. Lineage: Eukaryota; Metazoa; Cnidaria; Anthozoa; Malacalcyonacea; Plexauridae. The record is from RNAcentral.